AUUGCCUCAGUAACGGCGAGUGAAGCGGCAACAGCUCAAAUUUGAAAUCUGGGCCUAGGCCCGAGUUGUAAUUUGCAGAGGAUGCUUUUGGCGAGGUGCCUUCCGAGUUCCCUGGAACGGGACGCCAUAGAGGGUGAGAGCCCCGUCUGGUCGGACACCGAGCCUCUGUAAAGCUCCUUCGACGAGUCGAGUAGUUUGGGAAUGCUGCUCUAAAUGGGAGGUAUAUGUCUUCUAAAGCUAAAUACCGGCCAGAGACCGAUAGCGCACAAGUAGAGUGAUCGAAAGAUGAAAAGCACUUUGAAAAGAGAGUUAAAUAGCACGUGAAAUUGUUGAAAGGGAAGCGUUUAUGACCAGACUUGGCCCGGUUGAUCAUCCAGCGUUCUCGCUGGUGCACUCUGCCGGUCCAGGCCAGCAUCAGUUCGUCGCGGGGGAUAAAGGUUUCGGGAAUGUGGCUCCUCCGGGAGUGUUAUAGCCCGUUGCGUAAUACCCUGUGGUGGACUGAGGUCCGCGCUUCUGCAAGGAUGCUGGCGUAAUGGUCAUCAACGACCCGUCUUGAAACACGGACCAAGGAGUCGUCUUCGUAUGCGAGUGUUCGGGUGUAAAACCCCUACGCGUAAUGAAAGUGAACGCAGGUGAGAGCUUCGGCGCAUCAUCGACCGAUCCUGAUGUUCUCGGAUGGAUUUGAGUAAGAGCAUACGGGGCCGGACCCGAAAGAAGGUGAACUAUGCCUGUAUAGGGUGAAGCCAGAGGAAACUCUGGUGGAGGCUCGCAGCGGUUCUGACGUGCAAAUCGAUCGUCAAAUAUGGGCAUGGGGGCGAAAGACUAAU
RNAcentral lists this ribosomal RNA (827 nucleotides) under Paramyrothecium acadiense. Its description in RNAcentral is "eukaryotic LSU rRNA". It matches the Rfam family "Eukaryotic large subunit ribosomal RNA", at positions 74 to 935 of the family's 3401-position model. Lineage: Eukaryota; Fungi; Ascomycota; Sordariomycetes; Hypocreales; Stachybotryaceae. The record is from RNAcentral.